UACGAAGGGGGCUAGCGUUGCUCGGAAUCACUGGGCGUAAAGCGCACGUAGGCGGAUUGCUAAGUCAGGGGUGAAAUCCUGGAGCUCAACUCCAGAACUGCCUUUGAUACUGGCGAUCUUGAGUCCGGGAGAGGUGAGUGGAACUCCGAGUGUAGAGGUGAAAUUCGUAGAUAUUCGCAAGAACACCAGUGGCGAAGGCGGCUCACUGGCCCGGUACUGACGCUGAGGUGCGAAAGCGUGGGGAGCAAACAGG
This 253-nucleotide ribosomal RNA is filed under the name uncultured bacterium. RNAcentral's name for it is "partial 16S ribosomal RNA". It matches the Rfam family "Bacterial small subunit ribosomal RNA", at positions 524 to 776 of the family's 1533-position model. The record is from RNAcentral.